RNAcentral lists this ribosomal RNA (247 nucleotides) under uncultured bacterium. Its description in RNAcentral is "partial 16S ribosomal RNA". It matches the Rfam family "Bacterial small subunit ribosomal RNA", at positions 526 to 771 of the family's 1533-position model. The record is from RNAcentral.
CGGAAGGUCCGGGCGUUAUCCGGAUUUAUUGGGUUUAAAGGGAGCGUAGGCCGGAGAUUAAGCGUGUUGUGAAAUGUAAGACGCUCAACGUCUGCACUGCAGCGCGAACUGGUUUCCUUGAGUACGCACAAAGUGGGCGGAAUUCGUGGUGUAGCGGUGAAAUGCUUAGAUAUCACGAAGAACUCCGAUUGCGAAGGCAGCUCACUGGAGCGCAACUGACGCUGAAGCUCGAAAGUGCGGGUAUCGA